Long non-coding RNA from Nicotiana attenuata, 524 nucleotides. RefSeq lists it as uncharacterized. NCBI's taxonomy places the organism in Eukaryota, Viridiplantae, Streptophyta, Magnoliopsida, Solanales, Solanaceae. The transcript has 3 exons. The record is from RefSeq and is a predicted model, not a curated record.
CGUGUUUAUUUUCUUGUCCCUCUUCUGUUCUCCUCCUCUUCGCCGUUUCCAACUCAACAACUCUCUCUGUUUCAGCUUCUUCUUCUUCUUCUUUAACAACACCUCUUAAAUCACAGCCGUUGAUCAUAAUUACAGGUCUAGAUGUGUGUGUAUAUAUACACAAACACACACAUUUAAUCCUGUAUUACACUAAACCUCUUUGAAAAAGCCUUGCCUCUUUUCUCUUACCAAGAUUUAGCUUUUUCUCUGCCAAUCCCUUUUAUUGGUUAAGAUGGUUUUGAUGAUAUAUUGUAGUGAAGCUGCUUACUAGGCGCUUGUCUAGUCCGUGUGCUUCCUCUUCAGUCGACCAUUCUUCAGUAAAUGGGCUGCUUUCAUUCUAAGGUUAAAAAGAAGUUACGUGGACACGAAGAUCCUGUAGUCCUUGCGUCCCAAACAGCUUUUAGUGUUAGCGAAGUAGAAGCAUUGUUUGAGCUGUUCAAGAGUAUCAGUAGUUCGGUAAUUGACGAUGGGCUAAUAAGCAAGGU